RNAcentral lists this ribosomal RNA (258 nucleotides) under Oxyrrhis marina. RNAcentral describes it as "partial Eukaryotic small subunit ribosomal RNA". Lineage: Eukaryota; Dinophyceae; Oxyrrhinales; Oxyrrhinaceae. The record is from RNAcentral.
AUUUCACCUCUGACAACGAAAUACGAAUGCCCCCAACUGUCUCUCUUAAUCAUUACUAAGGUUCCAGAAACCAACAAAAUAGAACCAAAGUCCUAUUCCAUUAUUCCAUGCUUAUGUAUUCAAGCGCUGGCUUGCUUUGAACACUCUAAUUUUUUCAAAGUAAACGUCACAGAUCCUGAGCACACUCAGUUAAGAGCACACACAGUCUUUGCGAAGAAGAACAGCUCGGCCAGUAACAUACCUUGCGGCAGACCGGCC